CUAAAGUGAGGUUUAAAGACUAAAAGUCCAAGUGGCAAGUGUCCAGACCCUGCCAAACGGCAAUCCUGUGUCUCAGAGGGUCCAUUUCAACUGCUGCUGAAUGUAGGGAAUAUUUGGUGAUAUUAUACAGAGCUUCACUUCAUCACGUGGAGGAGACUGUGCAACUUGACCUUCAAUCAAGAAGUAUCUCUUCCGUCAGCAGGUGGCCACCAGGAGAACCAGGGAUGGAGGUCAGACUGGGAGAACUGCGCAUUCUCUGCAUCCCUGUAGUUGAGUGUCUUCAUU
RNAcentral lists this long non-coding RNA (285 nucleotides) under Fukomys damarensis (Damara mole-rat). Its description in RNAcentral is "lncRNA (ENSFDAG00000023291.1)". The record is from RNAcentral. Lineage: Eukaryota; Metazoa; Chordata; Mammalia; Rodentia; Bathyergidae.